Molecule: ribosomal RNA, 406 nt
Filed under: uncultured bacterium
Lineage: Bacteria
Description: bacterial SSU rRNA
Rfam family: Bacterial small subunit ribosomal RNA
Source: RNAcentral
UGGGGAAUAUUGGGCAAUGGGCGCAAGCCUGACCCAGCAACGCCGCGUGAGGGAAGAAGGUCUUCGGAUUGUAAACCUCUGUCCUUGGGGACGAAAAAAAUGACGGUACCCAAGGAGGAAGCUCCGGCUAACUACGUGCCAGCAGCCGCGGUAAUACGUAGGGAGCGAGCGUUGUCCGGAAUUACUGGGCGUAAAGGGUGCGUAGGCGGCUUGGCAAGUCAGAUGUGAAAUCCCCGGGCUUAACUCGGGGGGUGCAUUUGAAACUGCCAGGCUUGAGUGCAGGAGAGGAAAGCGGAAUUCCUAGUGUAGCGGUGAAAUGCGUAGAUAUUAGGAAGAACACCAGUGGCGAAGGCGGCUUUCUGGACUGUAACUGACGCUGAGGCACGAAAGCGUGGGGAGCAAACAG